Molecule: ribosomal RNA, 253 nt
Filed under: uncultured bacterium
Lineage: Bacteria
Description: partial 16S ribosomal RNA
Rfam family: Bacterial small subunit ribosomal RNA
Source: RNAcentral
UACAGAGGGUGCGAGCGUUAAUCGGAAUUACUGGGCGUAAAGCGCGCGUAGGCGGCUUUUCAAGUCAGACGUGAAAUCCCCGGGCUUAACCUGGGAACUGCAGUCGAGACUGUCUAGCUAGAGUAUGGGAGAGGGAAGUGGAAUUUCAGGUGUAGCGGUGAAAUGCGUAGAUAUCUGAAGGAACAUCAGUGGCGAAAGCGACUUCCUGGACCAAUACUGACGCUCAUGUGCGAAAGCGUGGGGAGCAAACAGG